CGCGGGGUAGAGCAGUCUGGUAGCUCGUCGGGCUCAUAACCCGAAGGUCGUUGGUUCGAAUCCUUCCCCCGCCACCA
Molecule: transfer RNA, 77 nt
Filed under: Flavobacterium sp.
Lineage: Bacteria; Pseudomonadati; Bacteroidota; Flavobacteriia; Flavobacteriales; Flavobacteriaceae
Also listed under: 2 other names
Description: tRNA-Met
Rfam family: tRNA
About the family: Transfer RNA (tRNA) molecules are approximately 80 nucleotides in length. Their secondary structure includes four short double-helical elements and three loops (D, anti-codon, and T loops). Further hydrogen bonds mediate the characteristic L-shaped molecular structure. tRNAs have two regions of fundamental functional importance: the anti-codon, which is responsible for specific mRNA codon recognition, and the 3' end, to which the tRNAs corresponding amino acid is attached (by aminoacyl-tRNA synthetases). tRNAs cope with the degeneracy of the genetic code in two manners: having more than one tRNA (with a specific anti-codon) for a particular amino acid; and 'wobble' base-pairing, i.e. permitting non-standard base-pairing at the 3rd anti-codon position.
Source: RNAcentral